UUGAAGAAUGGGUAUCCCAGGUUUUUUGACCUUCCAGUUCAGGACAAAGCGGCUACACGACUUCGAACCACAUUUCGGGGCUACAAGGCAAGAAAGACUGAGACAAAUGAAAAAAUUGUAACGUUCAAGGCCCUGAUACAAAACCAACAGUCAGAAAGCAUCAUCAUCCACUUCAAGAUACCUUCAUUCAUGGGAUAACAUACAGUCUGAGGAGGAAUGGUGUGGUGGGCGUGGGUCUGACACAAUGGAGGAAAUUCGGUCUAGGAUACAACAGGGAGAAGAUGCAUCCAUUAAGCGUCAGUGGGUCAUGACAUAUGCCUUCUCAUAAGGUACACGAGUAUUUU
Molecule: long non-coding RNA, 344 nt
Organism: Papaver somniferum (opium poppy)
Lineage: Eukaryota; Viridiplantae; Streptophyta; Magnoliopsida; Ranunculales; Papaveraceae
Exons: 3
Source: RefSeq, a predicted model, not a curated record